UCGGGGCUCUCAACUCUGACCUGCUGCGUCAGUAAGGGUUGUGAGUCCAGACUCGAGCUUGCAAUAAACGGCUCUCGUGUGCUUGCAUCAGAUUGGACUCCUUGGCGGUCUUUGGGGAUCCACGAUCUGGGCAUAACAGGACCCCCAAACCGGAGAGUCUACUGCUGAUUGGCUGGAUAGAGGCCUUUCCAACUAAGCGUGAGACUGCAUGGGUGGUAGCCAGAAAGAUAUUAGAAGACAUCCCGCCCAGGUAUGGCUUUCCUGUAAGGAUAGGAUCAGACAAUGGACCUGCUUUCGUCUCCAAGCCUUACAAAGGGUUCAUGAAGAAGUAUGGCCAAAGUUGAGGGAACUGUACGAAACUGGGCCUCCACCAGUACCCCACCAGUAUAGACUGGGAGACUGGGUGCUUGUUAAACAACACUGGCAGGAGAACUUGGAACCCAGGUGGAAAGGACCAUUCCAGGUUAUUCUGACGACGCCCACCGCUCUCAAAGUAGAUGGAGUGGCCAUCUGGAUUCACCACACCCACGCCAAGCAAGCAGACCCGUUCCUGGACUUGAUCGAGCCCGGCUUGGACAGUCAACCGGACCAGAGAUAACUCCUUAAAACUGACGCUGCGUCGGGAGCGGAAGAACUGAGCUGUGACCAUGUUGUCUUUAACCUUGAUGUUUCUGAGCAAUGUUUUCAUCAACGCUUAUGCUGAUAGUAAUCCCCAUUACCCCUAUACUUGGACUUGGAUUGUUAAAAAUCCUGAGACGGGGAAGAGACUAACUCUUAUAUCCACUCAUGGACCCCUACCCCAGUUUCCAGACUUAUUUUUUGAUUUAUGCCAAUUAGCUGAAGGGUCGUGGGCCCGCACUAGUUGGACCAAACAAGAUUCCUACCCGGAGUGCCGGUGGCGAAACUGGUAUGUAUGCCCUGGAGGGAAAAGAACUGAUAGUUGCGGAGGCCCCAGUGACUAUUAUUGUAAGAAAUGGGGGUGCGAGACCAGCACAUCCACUUGGUGGAGGGGGAAAGGAGGAGACCUUGUUGGUUUUACUAAAAGUAGCUCACAGAAUUCUAAGAUCAGAAUUCAAUUUACUGAACUAGGGGAAAAGGCUGGAGGAUGGGAGCUGGGGAAGUCCUGGGGACUUAGGCUGUACAGGCCCGGGGGUAACCAUGAAGGGAUACUUUUGACACUCCAGGUCAUUAAGUCCUGGGAUUGACCGCCGGUGGCAGUGGGACCCAACCUUAUCUUAAACCCUGUGGUUGGGCCUACUCCUAGGACCAUCCUAGUGUCUGGACCAGUCCCUUCCACGCCGUCAUCUAUUGACAUUCAGACCAGCCUUGGUCCCCAAACCCAGGCAUCUGCCCCCGCUUACUUACCCCACCACCCACUUGUAAAGUUAAUGCAAAAGUCCUUUUUAGUACUGAACCAGACUCAGCCUAAGAAAACGAGGUCUGGCUGGUUAUGUGAUGAUAGCAUGCUCCCCUAUUAUGAAGGAAUUGCAGCUCAGGACAAUGUUACUGUAUCAAGUGAGGUGCCAUCCUGCAGAUGGAAAUCGAAGGUAGGACUCACAGUAACUAAAAUAAUAGGGACCCGGAGUGUGCCGGGGAAGUGAGCAAAGAAACGGCCCCCUUGUGCAACUCCACGCAAAAACAGGUGAAUAGUUACUUGGUCCCCCCAAAUGAUGCUUGGUGGGCCUGCUCUAAAGCAGGGCUAACCCCCUGUGUGCACACCACUGUUUUACAACAACUUGAAAUGCCCACUCUUCAAAGACCACCAGAGACUCAGACACUCAAACUGCAAAACGCAAGGUUUAUUCAGAACAAGCCAAGGCUCGGGCCUCAUCCCACACACUGACAGAGCAUAGGGAGGGAGGAGACCCCGAGCCACAUUCCAGCAGGGUUUAUAAAGGCAAAAACCACAAGGUGACAAAAAGAUACAUUAUCCAGGUAUUCAAACAGAAUUACAUGUGAAUACAAAUCUGAUUGGCUCGGGGCUAGGGGUAACAUUCCAGGGUGGUUAGCGUCAGCAGGAGGUUACAGAACCGGAUGGGUCACCUGU
Molecule: long non-coding RNA, 2047 nt
Organism: Dipodomys spectabilis (banner-tailed kangaroo rat)
Lineage: Eukaryota; Metazoa; Chordata; Mammalia; Rodentia; Heteromyidae
Exons: 3
Source: RefSeq, a predicted model, not a curated record